GACGAACGCUGGCGGCGUGCUUAACACAUGCAAGUCGAGCGGUAAGGCCCUUUCGGGGUACGACGAGCGGCGAACGGGUGAGUAACACGUGGGUGACCUGCCCUCAGCUCUGGGAUAAGCCUCGGGAAACCGGGUCGUAAUACUGGAGUAUGACUCCAUGACGCAUGUUGUGGGGUGGAAAGCCUUGUGCGGCUGAGGAU
This 200-nucleotide ribosomal RNA is filed under the name uncultured bacterium. Its description in RNAcentral is "partial 16S ribosomal RNA". It matches the Rfam family "Bacterial small subunit ribosomal RNA", at positions 28 to 226 of the family's 1533-position model. The record is from RNAcentral.